RNAcentral lists this ribosomal RNA (938 nucleotides) under uncultured bacterium. RNAcentral's name for it is "bacterial SSU rRNA". It matches the Rfam family "Bacterial small subunit ribosomal RNA", at positions 563 to 1499 of the family's 1533-position model. The record is from RNAcentral.
AAGCGUGCGCAGGCGGUUUUGUAAGUCAGAUGUGAAAUCCCCGAGCUCAACUUGGGAACUGCGUUUGAAACUACAAGACUAGAAUAUGUCAGAGGGGGGUAGAAUUCCACGUGUAGCGGUGAAAUGCGUAGAGAUGUGGAGGAAUACCAAUGGCGAAGGCAGCCCCCUGGGAUAAUAUUGACGCUCAUGCACGAAAGCGUGGGGAGCAAACAGGAUUAGAUACCCUGGUAGUCCACGCCCUAAACGAUGUCUACUAGUUGUUGGUGGAGUAAAAUCCAUGAGUAACGCAGCUAACGCGUGAAGUAGACCGCCUGGGGAGUACGGUCGCAAGAUUAAAACUCAAAUGAAUUGACGGGGGCCCGCACAAGCGGUGGAUUAUGUGGAUUAAUUCGAUGCAACGCGAAAAACCUUACCUGGCCUUGACAUGUAACGAACUUUCCAGAGAUGGAUUGGUGCUCGAAAGAGAGCGUUAACACAGGUGCUGCAUGGCUGUCGUCAGCUCGUGUCGUGAGAUGUUGGGUUAAGUCCCGCAACGAGCGCAACCCUUGCCAUUAAUCGCCAUCAUUUAGUUGGGCACUUUAAUGGGACUGCCGGUGACAAACCGGAGGAAGGUGGGGAUGACGUCAAGUCCUCAUGGCCCUUAUGGCCAGGGCUUCACACGUAAUACAAUGGUCGGUACAGAGGGUUGCCAAGCCGCGAGGUGGAGCCAAUCCCAGAAAGCCGAUCGUAGUCCGGAUUGUAGUCUGCAACUCGACUACAUGAAGUCGGAAUCGCUAGUAAUCGCGGAUCAGCAUGUCGCGGUGAAUACGUUCCCGGGCCUUGUACACACCGCCCGUCACACCAUGGGAGUGGGUUUUACCAGAAGUAGGUAGUCUAACCUUCGGGAGGACGCUUACCACGGUAGUAUUCAUGACUGGGGUGAAGUCGUAACAAGGUAA